UGGCUCAAUGGUUAAGAGCACUGGCUAUUCUCCCAGAGGACCUGGGUUCAAUUCCCAG
Molecule: transfer RNA, 58 nt
Filed under: Mesocricetus auratus (golden hamster)
Lineage: Eukaryota; Metazoa; Chordata; Mammalia; Rodentia; Cricetidae
Rfam family: tRNA
About the family: Transfer RNA (tRNA) molecules are approximately 80 nucleotides in length.
Source: Rfam by way of RNAcentral